This 454-nucleotide ribosomal RNA is filed under the name bacterium gwi06. RNAcentral's name for it is "bacterial SSU rRNA". It matches the Rfam family "Bacterial small subunit ribosomal RNA", at positions 29 to 500 of the family's 1533-position model. The record is from RNAcentral.
ACGAACGCUGGCGGCGUGCUUAACACAUGCAAGUCGAGCGGUAAGGCCCUUCGGGGUACACGAGCGGCGAACGGGUGAGUAACACGUGGGUAAUCUGCCUCAUACUCUGGGAUAAGCCUGGGAAACUGGGUCUAAUACCGGAUAGGACCAUUGCACGCAUGUGUGGUGGUGGAAAGUUCCGGCGGUAUGGGAUGAGCCCGCGGCCUAUCAGCUUGUUGGUGGGGUAGUGGCCUACCAAGGCGACGACGGGUAGCCGGCCUGAGAGGGUGACCGGCCACACUGGGACUGAGACACGGCCCAGACUCCUACGGGAGGCAGCAGUGGGGAAUAUUGCACAAUGGGCGAAAGCCUGAUGCAGCGACGCCGCGUGAGGGAUGACGGCCUUCGGGUUGUAAACCUCUUUCGCCAGGGACGAAGCGCAAGUGACGGUACCUGGAGAAGAAGCACCGGCUAA